AAGAUGUAAAUUAUAAGGCUGAGGUCUAUGUGGAGCCCACUACAACAGAAUUAGGUUAUAGGGAUACAUGUUUGGGACACUUUUGAGUAAGUGUUCCAUUUAUCCUAAAACUUAAAAAAACAUCUACUAAUGUCUAAAUAUAAAGCCCAAUCCAACCAAAAAUAAAAGAUUACUCUACUUAACCCACCACACCUAGUCCAUUUGGCCCGAUUACAAACAGAAAAAAAAAAAAAGAAAAAUCAAUUACCAUCUUUUCUUCCUUCUUCACUCAAUCCACUGAAAUUCUAGACGAAGAGCCUUUUCUGUCGUCCUCCUCCGCCACCGCAGCCAACGAGAUAGAGUUUCGGCGGUUGCUAAAUGCUUAAAUAAGUGUUGGUAAAUUAGCAGCACUCUUUUAGGUUAUAGCGACACUCUUUAAUUGUCACUAUAUACCUAGCGACCCCACAUAUAGCAACACUUUUUAAAAGUGUCGGUAAUUUUAGCUAGCAGCACUUUUUUCACAUGUACCUACAUUUAAAAGUAUCGCUAUAGACCGUUUUUGUUGUAGUGCCACCGCCUAAUAUAGCAAAAAUGACAAAAUGCCCCUCCAAAGUAAAGUAUUUCAACUUUCGUCCUCUAUAACUUAAAUCUUGAGUUUCAAAGUUCAUUUUGCGUCUAUUUUGCAUCAAACGUCUUCAACUCAAUCAAGCAUAAAUUUAUACUGUAAUCUUGCCAAUUUGCUAAGCUUCAAUAUAUCACAUAAUGGUUGUUCCUAAAGUUCACUAACAGAAUCAAACUCUCAAGGAGUAUAAUUGAAAAAACUUUGAACAUUAGAAGGAUAUAUCUCAUAUAACGUUAUAAGUGGAGUAAAUAAGAAAACCUAAAGCUUUUCAAAGGUAUUGAACAUUAGAAGGAUAUAUCUCAUAUAACGUUCUAAGUGGAGUAAAUAAGAAAACCUAAAGCUUUUCAAAGGUAUAUAAGCAAUUGUUCCAACUUAAAUUUUUUGGGGUGGGGUGGCCUCUACUAGUCACAUCAAUUAAUGCAACUAAUGGGUGCAAUGUAUAUCAUACAUCUCUUUUGAAGUGUAUGUAUAGUAUAACUCUUUAAAAAAACUAAAUUUU
This 1100-nucleotide long non-coding RNA is filed under the name Ananas comosus (pineapple). Its description in RNAcentral is "long non-coding RNA (ACOM_LNC043789)". Lineage: Eukaryota; Viridiplantae; Streptophyta; Magnoliopsida; Poales; Bromeliaceae. The record is from RNAcentral.